CCAAAGGCUCUUUUCAGAGCCACCCAAAUGAUCAGUGAAGGCUGUG
Molecule: non-coding RNA, 46 nt
Organism: Canis lupus familiaris (dog)
Lineage: Eukaryota; Metazoa; Chordata; Mammalia; Carnivora; Canidae
Source: Rfam